AGGAGGAGGAGAGGGAGAGAAUCAGAACAAGCAGAGGGCACACAGAGAAGCAACUGUGACAGCAGGGGCCCCCUUUGGAACCAAAGUAGAUACGGUGAACAUGUGAUGGAUAUUCUAAGGAUGUCUAUUUUUAAGAGCAAUUGCCUCUGUAGUACUACUACAACACCAACCCAAAUCCUAAAGCAACAGUACAACAACUGUUAAGAGGCAGUCCUUCAGGACCUCCACAGACUCCUUGGAAGCUGAUGAACAGGAGAGACUGAGUUGGAUAUCAUCAGCAUAUUGACGACAUCUGCACUCCAAAUCUCUCCCAGGGGUUUCAUGUAGAUAUAAAACAGAACAGGAGACAAGAUGGAGUUCUGUGGAAGGCCAAACAGCGGUCUUCAGGCACUGUCUUCUGAGAUCCGCCCUCCAGGAAUGACAAGAAACACAGCAAAACAGUGGUUU
Molecule: long non-coding RNA, 447 nt
Organism: Rhineura floridana
Lineage: Eukaryota; Metazoa; Chordata; Lepidosauria; Squamata; Rhineuridae
Exons: 3
Source: RefSeq, a predicted model, not a curated record